AGUGAACGCUGGCGGUAGGCCUAACACAUGCAAGUCGAACGGCAGCACAGGAGAGCUUGCUCUCUGGGUGGCGAGUGGCGGACGGGUGAGGAAUACAUCGGAAUCUACUCUGUCGUGGGGGAUAACGUAGGGAAACUUACGCUAAUACCGCAUACGACCUACGGAUGAAAGCAGGGGACCUUCGGGCCUUGCGCGAUUGAAUGAGCCGAUGUCGGAUUAGCUAGUUGGCGGGGGAAAGGCCCACCCAGGCGACGAUCCGUAGCUGGUCUGAGAGGAUGAUCAGCCAAACUGGAACUGAGAAACGGUCCAGACUCCUACGGGAGGCAGCAGUGGGGAAUAUUGGACAAUGGGCGCAAGCCUGAUCCAGCCAUACCGCGUGGGUGAAGAAGGCCUUCGGGUUGUAAAGCCCUUUUGUUGGGAAAGAAAUCCAGCUGGCUAAUACCCGGUUGGGAUGACGGUACCCAAAGAAUAAGCACCGGCUAACUUCGUGCCAGCCGCCGCGGUAA
This 506-nucleotide ribosomal RNA is filed under the name uncultured bacterium. Its description in RNAcentral is "partial 16S ribosomal RNA". It matches the Rfam family "Bacterial small subunit ribosomal RNA", at positions 29 to 523 of the family's 1533-position model. The record is from RNAcentral.